AUGGCGCUUUUUGAUGAGUUUUACGUGGGCACUAGUGACUUAUCCCGCCUUAACUACGGGAUCAUUACUCUCAUCCCCAAGGUCACUAGGGCCUCGGACAUCCACCAGUUUUAUGCGAUCACGGUGAUCAAUGUGAUCUUCCGCAUCCUGGCGAAGGGGGUAGCUAAUAGGGUGACCUUGCUGGCCGACCGCAUCACCCAUCCCAAUCAGUUUCCCUUCAUCCAAGGAUGAUAUAUUAUGGAUGGGGUCUUGGUUUUCCAUGAAGUCCUUCAUGAGGUCCGUGCUAGAAACCUGAAGGCGGUCUUCCUGAAGAUUGACUUUAAUAAAUUCUAUGACAUGGUACAUUGGCCCUUCCUUUGGGAAGUGCUCCUCCGGAAGGGUUUUGAUGAUCGAUGGGUCAGCAAGGUCAUGCAGAUGGUUUCUUGUGGGCGCACCGCGGUUAAUAUCAACGGCGAGGUCGGACCCUUCUUCCAAGGCAGGGUGAUCCCUUCUCCCCCUUUCUGUUCAAUAUGGUGGUCGACGCCCUCGCCACCAUCCUAG
This 540-nucleotide ribosomal RNA is filed under the name Triticum aestivum (bread wheat). RNAcentral's name for it is "partial small subunit ribosomal RNA". Lineage: Eukaryota; Viridiplantae; Streptophyta; Magnoliopsida; Poales; Poaceae. The record is from RNAcentral.